Molecule: ribosomal RNA, 459 nt
Filed under: uncultured bacterium
Lineage: Bacteria
Description: partial 16S ribosomal RNA
Rfam family: Bacterial small subunit ribosomal RNA
Source: RNAcentral
CCUACGGGAGGCAGCAGUGAGGAAUAUUGGUCAAUGGGCGGGAGCCUGAACCAGCCAAGCCGCGUGAAGGAAGAAGGCGCCAGGCGUCGUAAACUUCUUUUGUCGGGGAACAAAGGGCGCCACGCGUGGCGUUGUGAGUGUACCCGAAGAAAAAGCAUCGGCUAACUCCGUGCCAACAGCCGCGGUAAUACGGAGGAUGCGAGCGUUAUCCGGAUUUAUGGGGUUUAAAGGGUGCGUAGGCGGUACAGAACGUCAGCGGUAAAAGCCAGGGGCCCAACCCCGGCGAGCCGUUGAAACUGGCGGACUAGAGACGGCGAGAGGUACGCGGAAUGUGUGGUGUAGCGGUGAAAUGCAUAGAUAUCGCGCAGAACUCCGAUUGCGAAGGCAGCGUACCGGCGCCGGACUGACGCUGAGGCACGAAAGCGUGGGUAUCGAACAGGAUUAGAUACCCGAGUAGUC